Molecule: long non-coding RNA, 678 nt
Organism: Cyprinus carpio carpio
Lineage: Eukaryota; Metazoa; Chordata; Actinopteri; Cypriniformes; Cyprinidae
Source: Ensembl
UUUUCUUUUUUUUCCCCUUUUUUUGUUACCAUUUGUAACAAUUAAAUUAUAAAACCAUUUUUAAAAAAUGAGAUUUUUCAUUUUACAUUGACUAAUCUAAUUUUACAAUUUUCCACACUGCUUCUUUAACAUAUUAAAUUGAGGAGUGUCAAGCUGUAUCGUGGGAGGAUUCACUCACCACACAAAGAGACUGAGAGUCUCUAGAUUUCACUGAACAACCGAAGAAAAUGGUUUGCAUGUUUGUUUUGUUCUCUUUGUACUGGUGGCGUUUGACUGGUGUGUUUGGUGAGUCAGUGUCAGUGAUGGAAGGAGAUUCUGUCACUCUACACACUGUUACUGCAAUACAUGAAGAUGAAGACAUACUGUGGAAAUUUGGAAAUGAAAAGUCUCUGAUAGCUAAACUCAAGAGACAGAACCAAAUCUUCCCUGAUGAGAGAUUCAGAGACAGACUGAAGCUGGACAGACAGACUGGAUCUCUGAUCAUCACAAACAUCACAACUCAACAAGCUGGAAUCUAUGAAGUAAAGAUCAGUGGACUGAAAUGAACAACAAAAUCAUUUAGUGUUUCUGUCUAUGAUCAGAGCCUACCCUUGUUUUACAUUUUGCUGAUUUCUGCUGCUGGAUCUCUGUUGAUUGUAACUGCAGUUGUGAUGUGCUGCAGGAAAUGUAGAAAAACAG